GCUAGCGGCAUGCUUAACACAUGCAAGUCGAACGGCAGCGCGAGGAGCUUGCUCCUUGGCGGCGAGUGGCGGACGGGUGAGUAACGCGUAGGAAUCUACCUAGUAGUGGGGGACAACUCGGGGAAACUCGAGCUAAUACCGCAUAAUCUCUACGGAGCAAAGCGGGGGAUCUUCGGACCUCGCGCUAUUAGAUGAGCCUGCGUCGGAUUAGCUUGUUGGUGGGGUAAAGGCCUACCAAGGCGACGAUCCGUAGCUGGUCUGAGAGGAUGAUCAGCCACACUGGGACUGAGACACGGCCCAGACUCCUACGGGAGGCAGCAGUGGGGAAUAUUGGACAAUGGGGGCAACCCUGAUCCAGCAAUGCCGCGUGUGUGAAGAAGGCCUUCGGGUUGUAAAGCACUUUCAGUAGAGAAGAAAAGCUUAUGGAUAAUACCCAUGAGUCUUGACGUUAUCUGCAGAAGAAGCACUGGCUAACUCUGUGCCAGCAGCCGCGGUAAUACAGAGAGUGCAAGCGUUAAUCAGAAUUACUGGGCGUAAAGCGCAC
This 544-nucleotide ribosomal RNA is filed under the name uncultured Chromatiales bacterium. RNAcentral's name for it is "bacterial SSU rRNA". It matches the Rfam family "Bacterial small subunit ribosomal RNA", at positions 35 to 570 of the family's 1533-position model. The record is from RNAcentral. Lineage: Bacteria; Pseudomonadati; Pseudomonadota; Gammaproteobacteria; Chromatiales.